This 447-nucleotide ribosomal RNA is filed under the name uncultured bacterium. Its description in RNAcentral is "partial 16S ribosomal RNA". It matches the Rfam family "Bacterial small subunit ribosomal RNA", at positions 28 to 523 of the family's 1533-position model. The record is from RNAcentral.
GGCGAACGCUGGCGGCAGGCCUAAUACAUGCAAGUCGAACGGCCCUUCGGGGCAGUGGCGGACGGGUGAGUAACACGUGGGAACGUGCCCUUUGGUACGGAACAACUGAGGGAAACUUCAGCUAAUACCGUAUGUGCCCUUCGGGGGAAAGAUUUAUCGCCAUUGGAGCGGCCCGCGUUGGAUUAGCUAGUUGGUGGGGUAAAGGCCCACCAAGGCUACGAUCCAUAGCUGGUCUGAGAGGAUGAUCAGCCACACUGGGACUGAGACACGGCCCAGACUCCUACGGGAGGCAGCAGUAGGGAAUCUUGCGCAAUGGGCGAAAGCCUGACGCAGCCAUGCCGCGUGAAUGAUGAAGGUCUUAGGAUUGUAAAAUUCUUUCACCGGGGAAGAUAAUGACGGUACCCGGAGAAGAAGCCCCGGCUAACUUCGUGCCAGCCGCCGCAGUAA